UUGGAGGGCAAGUCUGGUGCCAGCAGCCGCGGUAAUUCCAGCUCCAAUAGCGUAUAUUAAAGUUGUUGCAGUUAAAAAGCUCGUAGUUGAAUUUCGGGAUCAAUUUGUUGGUCGUGCUAUUGUACGUACUGGUAUUAUUGAUUCCUACCUUCUGACGAACCUUGAUGUCAUUAAUUUGGUGUCAUGGGGAAUCAGGACUGUUACUUUGAAAAAAUUAGAGUGUUUAAAGCAGGCUCACGCUUGAAUACAUUAGCAUGGAAUAACGAAAUAGGACGUUUGAUUCUAUUUUGUUGGUUUCUAGGAUCGACGUAAUGAUUAAUAGGGAUAGUUGGGGGCAUUAGUAUUCAAUUGUCAGAGGUGAAAUUCUUGGAUUUAUUGAAGACUAACUACUGCGAAAGCAUUUGCCAAGGAUGUUUUCAUUAAUCAAGAACGAAAGUUAGGGGAUCGAAGACGAUCAGAUACCGUCGUAGUCUUAACCAUAAACUAUGCCGACUAGGGAUCGGAUGAUGUUAAUUUUUUAAUGACUCAUUCGGCGCCUUACGGGAAAC
This 548-nucleotide ribosomal RNA is filed under the name uncultured Glomeromycotina. RNAcentral's name for it is "SSU rRNA". It matches the Rfam family "Eukaryotic small subunit ribosomal RNA", at positions 548 to 1098 of the family's 1831-position model. Lineage: Eukaryota; Fungi; Glomeromycota. The record is from RNAcentral.